This 253-nucleotide ribosomal RNA is filed under the name uncultured bacterium. RNAcentral describes it as "partial 16S ribosomal RNA". It matches the Rfam family "Bacterial small subunit ribosomal RNA", at positions 524 to 776 of the family's 1533-position model. The record is from RNAcentral.
UACAGAGGCUGCAAGCGUUAUUCGGAUUCACUGGGCGUAAAGGGUGCGCAGGCGGCCAAGUGUGUGAGGCGUGAAAGCCCGAAGCUUAACUUCGGAAUUGCACCUCAAACUACAUGGCUAGAGCAUUGGAGAGGGUAGCAGAAUUCACGGUGUAGCAGUGAAAUGCGUAGAUAUCGUGAGGAAUACCAGAGGCGAAGGCGGCUACCUGGACAAUUGCUGACGCUCAGGCACGAAAGCGUGGGGAGCAAAAGGG